Molecule: long non-coding RNA, 1020 nt
Organism: Cottoperca gobio
Lineage: Eukaryota; Metazoa; Chordata; Actinopteri; Perciformes; Bovichtidae
Exons: 3
Source: RefSeq, a predicted model, not a curated record
UGCUGCCAACAGACCACUAAGCGACUGCCUCGUGGGCUUAUUGCUGAAAUGUUUGAGAUGAAUCUGUUGGUUGAAGCCAGUAAAGCCAGCAGGUGAAGAAGAAUCUUUGAAAUCCAUGACAAAGUUGCUUAGUGCUCCUUUAAAAACAACACAAUAUAUUAGAUGUUUCCCUUAAUUAUUGCAUGUACAGCAGACAUAGUAUUUAGUAAGUCAGUUCCUACUCAUUUUUCAUCAUCAUCAUCAUCAUCAUCAUCAUCAUCAUCAUCAUCAUAUUUUCAGCAGCAAUGUUUCACAGUUAUCAUAACACCCCAAGUCAGAAUCGCCCAACCCAAAGCAAAAGCAGAAGUAAGAAAAGACAAUUCAAACAUGCACAUUCUUUACCAACAUGGGAUAGAGCAGGACAGGCUGCACCACCCCUUUCCUCAGUUUACUAAGAUACACUGGAGAAAACAGUAGUAGCAUUAUUAUAGGUAUUGAGUAAGCUUCUUUUGCUGUCAUGUUCUCUGCUACACAUAUGAAGUAUAAAAAGCAUAGAGAAAUUGGUGAUUCUCAUCAUUACUAAGAUUGAAACUUUACUAAGAUUUAAACCUGUAAACUGUUUAAGUACACUGUCACCCGGGCUUCCUAGAUAAUUGUGCUUUUUAUAUACUUUCAGGGUUUUUGUUUUUAUGACUUUUUUCUAGGCCUACAUACAUAAAUGUUCUAACAAUUUAACAGACAGAUUCAGAAUUGUAUAUAAUAAUAGUAUGUAAUAAUGGUCUGAUGACUAAAGGUGUGUUCACACCGAUUUCAGAGGCUCAUCUUUAUCUUGCAUUAUCUACACAAAUGUGAGAGCUGGAGAGGUUUUGCACUUUGUUUUUACCUCAACAGUGACUGUACUGACUGUCCAGAUGCUAACUGUGGUCAGGUGGCCUUGUCCUUUCCUUUGCGUGCUGUAUGUCUCUACGUGCAAAGUUAUUGCUUCAUAACAUGUUUAAACUUGGCAUACUUAUACAUUAAAAACAUGUUUCUACUUUCUAA